Uranotaenia lowii is the source of this 573-nucleotide long non-coding RNA. RefSeq lists it as uncharacterized. The record is from RefSeq and is a predicted model, not a curated record. NCBI's taxonomy places the organism in Eukaryota, Metazoa, Arthropoda, Insecta, Diptera, Culicidae. The transcript is spliced from 4 exons.
GUUACGAUUGAUUGUGUGAUACUUGAAUAAAAAUGUAUUUACAUAAGCGUAGUCAGAGUGCCUUCAGCAGCAGGUGGCUGGGUGUUUACCAAUGGCAAAAACAAAAGGUCAACUCAAUCCAGAUGCGGCAGCAGCUUAAAUCAAAACGAAGGAAUCGAUGCCGCUGGAGGAAUUGUUGGACAUCCCGGCUGGGUGGCACCGAUUGUCGUUGUCCGGCUCGAAAUGGUCCUCGUUGGCCACCAGGGAACGGAGGCGCUGGUUGUCGCACCAACUACGGCAAGUAGUGUGUCCUGAGUAGCACGACGGGGUAAAGACAACCCGGUUCAUCUGUUGGAUGUGCAUCUCAUUUGAUGGCGGUGGGGACCGGUUCCGAGAAAAUGAGAUGGUGGAAGAAUUUAGUCACCGUCUGCCGGAACAUAAAUAACUCCCAGGAAAUCAUUCGCAAAUCUAUAGUUCGGGUCAAAUGUGCUUACUGGUUCCGCACUGGAAGCUUCCGGAGGGCCUUCGAACAGCAUUCCACCCGAGUGGGAACAAUUCCAUCACUGGAGUCUGACCGAACAAGCAUGCUGUUUC